AAAAGGGAAUGGAAUUUUUCUCUGUCAUCUCUAGAUGGUUUUGAGUCAGAUGGUAAAUGUCAUGCUGCAGUUUGCAGUGCAAGCCGAAAUGCAACAACAUUUUUGUGAUGUGGUUGCAAUAAUGUGGGUUUUGAAGUUUCAAUUCGUGUCAGAGACUUCACUGAGAAUCCCUGUUCCGUUGCACUUAAACAGACUUCUCUUCCGUUUCUCUUGCAUUUGUAUCGCAUAUCAAUUUUGAUUCUAUUCAUCAUGUUUAGUGCUGGAAAAGAUAAAGAUAAAAACCAAACGAAAUGGAUUACUGUUUUAAAAUCAAGAAAAGAAAACUGGAACUUAUUUCUAGGGUUCCACAUGCUGCAAAUCAGUUGAAGAAUCUGAUUCUCAGCAGAAAUAUGUCCGAUUUAGGGAAGACUAUGAGGUUAACGACUCGACUGACAUAAAUUGUAGCUUACCCGAUCAAGUUCAGCUUUCUGUCGAGUGUCAGGAGAACCCAGAGGGGAAAAAUGGAUUUGUGAUAUAUGACACGGACGCCAUUCCUCUUGCCAACAUCCUGUUUCCUCCCAAAGCAAAAGAUCAUGCAUGCUAAAGAUGAAGGAUAAAUGACUUGCAAAAGAUAAAACACACAAAAAACCAUACUUGGAAAUAAAGCACUUUAUUUUUAUGAUUAAGUCAAAAAUUGUAUUUAUUAAUUUGAACUAUUAAUCAAAAAAAAAUAAAAAAAUUA
This is a long non-coding RNA of Triplophysa dalaica, 721 nucleotides long. RefSeq lists it as uncharacterized. Lineage: Eukaryota; Metazoa; Chordata; Actinopteri; Cypriniformes; Nemacheilidae. The record is from RefSeq and is a predicted model, not a curated record. The transcript is spliced from 3 exons.